UUUUUCACGCUGUACCUUGUGAUACAAGUUAAAAGCGAUAUAAAGGAAUUUUGCCGGAUAGCACAUACACGCAGCAAUGGCGUAAGACGUAUUGUGAAAUCAGGCAUUUAGCGGGCUGCGGGUUGCAGCCUGGACGACAAGACGGGAUAGACUUUCUCUGGUAACUCAGUAGUGGUUCCCCCUCGUAAAAGCGCUGUUUUAUCCGUAUGAAAAACAGGCUACCGAGAUUUUGCGCCCCUUAGCAGGCGACAACCGUGAGGUUGACGGCUUUGCGAUGAGACACGGGGCCAUCGGUUGUUCCUCGUCCAGCGUUACCAUGCCCGUAGCUUUGUCACUAA
Molecule: regulatory RNA element, 338 nt
Rfam family: RNase E 5' UTR element
About the family: This family represents a conserved element found in the 5' UTR of RNase E mRNA. RNase E is a key regulatory enzyme in the pathway of mRNA degradation in E. coli that is able to auto-regulate the degradation of its own mRNA in response to changes in RNase E activity.
Source: Rfam